RNAcentral lists this ribosomal RNA (1348 nucleotides) under fungal sp. B4 LX-2014. Its description in RNAcentral is "eukaryotic LSU rRNA". The stretch from base 455 to 1348 matches the Rfam family "Eukaryotic large subunit ribosomal RNA", at positions 1 to 922 of the family's 3401-position model. The record is from RNAcentral. Lineage: Eukaryota; Fungi.
GGAACAGCGGUUAGGAGCUUACACCCACCCGUGUUUACAUACUAUUGUUGCUUUGGCGGGCCGUGGCCUCCACUGCGGGCUCUGCUCGUGUGUGCCCGCCAGAGAACCAAACUCUGAAUGUUAGUGAUGUCUGAGUACUAUCUAAUAGUUAAAACUUUCAACAACGGAUCUCUUGGUUCUGGCAUCGAUGAAGAACGCAGCGAAAUGCGAUAAGUAAUGUGAAUUGCAGAAUUCAGUGAAUCAUCGAAUCUUUGAACGCACAUUGCGCCCUGUGGUAUUCCGCAGGGCAUGCCUGUUCGAGCGUCAUUUAACCACUCACGCCUAGCGUGGUAUUAGGGUACGCGGUCUCGCGGCCCUCAAAAUUAGUGGCGGCGCCGGUGGGCUCUAAGCGUAGUACAUACUCCCGCUAUAGAGUUCCUCCGGUGGCUCGCCAGAACCCCCAAUUUUUACAGGUUGACCUCGGAUCAGGUAGGGAUACCCGCUGAACUUAAGCAUAUCAAUAAGCGGAGGAAAAGAAACCAACAGGGAUUACCUCAGUAACGGCGAGUGAAGCGGUAACAGCUCAAAUUUGAAAGCUGCCAACAGGCCGCGUUGUAAUUUGUAGAAGCUGCUUUGGGUGUCGGCCCGGUCUAAGUUCCUUGGAACAGGACGUCAUAGAGGGUGAGAAUCCCGUAUGUGAUCGGUGCCGUUGCCCGUGUAAAGCGCUUUCGACGAGUCGAGUUGUUUGGGAAUGCAGCUCAAAAUGGGUGGUAAAUUUCAUCUAAAGCUAAAUAUUGGCCAGAGACCGAUAGCGCACAAGUAGAGUGAUCGAAAGAUGAAAAGCACUUUGGAAAGAGAGUUAAACAGUACGUGAAAUUGUUGAAAGGGAAGCGCUUGCAACCAGACUUGCGGGCGGUCGAUCAUCCGAGGUUCUCCCCGGUGCACUCGAUCGUUCUCAGGCCAGCAUCGGUUUCCGGGGUGGGAUAAAGGCGGUGGGAAUGUGGCUCUUCGGAGUGUUAUAGCCCACCGUGCAAUGCCGCCACUGGGGACCGAGGACCGCGCUUCGGCUAGGAUGCUGGCGUAAUGGUUGUAAGCGACCCGUCUUGAAACACGGACCAAGGAGUCUAACAUCUAUGCGAGUGUUUGGGUGUCAAACCCAUACGCGUAAUGAAAGUGAACGGAGGUAAGAGCCCUUUAGGGUGCAUUAUCGACCGAUCCUGAUGUCUUCGGAUGGAUUUGAGUAAGAGCAUAGCUGUUGGGACCCGAAAGAUGGUGAACUAUGCGUGAAUAGGGUGAAGCCAGAGGAAACUCUGGUGGAGGCUCGCAGCGGUUCUGACGUGCAAAUCGAUCGUCAAAUUUGCGUAUAGGG